This is a small nuclear RNA of Lycium ferocissimum, 117 nucleotides long. RefSeq annotates it as U5 spliceosomal RNA. The transcript has a single exon. The record is from RefSeq and is a predicted model, not a curated record. NCBI's taxonomy places the organism in Eukaryota, Viridiplantae, Streptophyta, Magnoliopsida, Solanales, Solanaceae.
AGCCACGCAGUGAGCACAAAGUGAACUAUUCUUUCGCCUUUUACUAAAGAAUACCGUGUGCACGUUGCAAUUAGUGGUAUACUCCAAUUUUUUGAGGGGUUUUCUGAUUUGAGAACC